AUGUCGGUAGUGCAAUUGGUUAAGCGCAUGUUCCUAGAAAACGUGAAAAGCGAGUUUAAGUCCCGCCUGACAUC
This is a non-coding RNA of Parelaphostrongylus tenuis, 74 nucleotides long. The record is from the annotation of a GenBank genome assembly. NCBI's taxonomy places the organism in Eukaryota, Metazoa, Nematoda, Chromadorea, Rhabditida, Metastrongylidae.